This 207-nucleotide ribosomal RNA is filed under the name uncultured bacterium. RNAcentral describes it as "partial 16S ribosomal RNA". It matches the Rfam family "Bacterial small subunit ribosomal RNA", at positions 568 to 774 of the family's 1533-position model. The record is from RNAcentral.
CGCGUAGGUGGUUUUGUGUGUCUACCGUGAAAGCGUACGGCUCAACCGUAUUUUGUCGGUAGAAACUGCAGGACUUGAGGCUGGGAGGGGCUGGUGGAAUUCCCUGUGUAGCGGUGAAAUGCGUAGAGAUGGGGGAGAACACUCGUGGCGAAGGCGGCCAGCUAGACCAGUUCUGACACUGAGGCGCGACAGCGUGGGGAGCAAACA